GUGGGGCAGGUACCAUUCAGUGGGGCUUACUCCCUUGGUAGUGUGUUUAGGAUUGCAAACUAGAGAAACACUUAGGAACAGGCAAGGGAAGAAGCAUGGAUCCUAGCACUUGCCUCCCAUUUCUAUAAUGGGUCAGUUACUAUAAUUGCCAUUGUUCACACUAGUGGUAGGACAUCCAGCAGGAAAUAUCAGGCCUGGACAGCAGGACAGAAAGCAAAACUUCUGAGCUGCAAAAAUAAAUGCAGUUUAGGCAGGCGCAUUAAGGACUUCUGCAGUAAAGGAGCUCCCCACCAAUGGAGAGCAGCCAAGCCAAGCAGAGCUGGACAGAGGGACACCACCUCAUCCAUACCAACCUCUAUGAGAUCAGGAGUUUGGACUGCUCUACCCAUCAGAGAGCCAGAAGGAGAAACUAGAGAAGAUGUCAAGGAAGCCUGAAGAGGAGAGAACAAUUCUGAAGGCCAGUGACAGGAAGAAUGAAGUUGAAGACAUGUAAACUGCAGUGACAACUGAUAAAGCUGGUGAAUAAUGAAUACCUUGUUGUGAUGAAAUAGAGCCAUAUGUUUUAACAGCUGA
Podarcis raffonei (Aeolian wall lizard) is the source of this 573-nucleotide long non-coding RNA. RefSeq lists it as uncharacterized. The record is from RefSeq and is a predicted model, not a curated record. Lineage: Eukaryota; Metazoa; Chordata; Lepidosauria; Squamata; Lacertidae. The transcript is spliced from 2 exons.